Molecule: long non-coding RNA, 1234 nt
Filed under: Monodelphis domestica (gray short-tailed opossum)
Lineage: Eukaryota; Metazoa; Chordata; Mammalia; Didelphimorphia; Didelphidae
Description: lncRNA (ENSMODG00000033152.2)
Source: RNAcentral
GGGUUUUGCUAAGUGUAAGAGUUAAAGUUGGGGGACACUGAGGCAGUAUAAAUUAGUUUCUCUCUGCAAGGAGUAUUAUAUUUUUAGAGGUUUAUUAAAGGAUUAAAGAAAAUACAGAAUAAGAGAACACGUGUCUAGGCCUCUGGCCUAGACAACCUCACCUACAUUAUGAAAAGAGUCUGCGUGUAAGCUGAAACAGGAAAGAAAAGAGAGGCCCAGAAGCCUUUCCAAUCAGGUUAAAUACCCCAUCUUGAUCUCGGCCCAGGUGAGAAUUCCGUGAUAUUACAAAGCAUUCUGGGGAAGUGGAGCAAGGACUUCUGGGGAUUGAAGUCCUGGACUCAAGUCUCCAUUUUUACAUAAGUUAGUGACAGGAGUAUGAAUCCUGUCAGACUGUCAGACUGCCUUGGGUGGAACCUUGUGCUAAGGUCUUGCUUAGGAAUUCUGAGACACCCAAGGAAUUGGAAGUUCUGUUAAGCCCAACUGUCUCUCUCUGCUGGUGUUCCCUGCCCAGAGAGAAGGCUAAAGCUUUGGCUCCUGGGAAUUCCUUGAACUGGCCUGACAGUUUUGGAAAGAAGAGAAAGUUGGAAGUUUUGGGAAGAGCUGUGAAAGGAACAAAUAGAGCAACCUGGUUCUAUGGCAUCUGCAGAGUGCUACACCAACAGACAAAACAAGAGGUAAUUUGAGAUCACACCUACUAGAUUGCCAGAGGGAUCUGAUAUGUGUGCUUGAGAGCAUCUGAGAGGUAUUGCUAUAUUUUGUAAAUCUUAUGCAUAUAUUAAUAAGGGUUAGUGUAUAUUGAGUCUCACCCAUGGGUUAGCUACGUGUGGCUUAAGAAAAAAUCUUAGUUGAAAGGAAUAUCAGAAGAAGCAACAAGACUAAGCUCCAAAAAAAUUGUGCCCUUCUUAACAAAAUGUGAUUUGGAUGAACAAAGAAAAAGAUAUAAUAGUGGAAGAGUCAGAUAUUGUUUAAAGUCCCCACUUUUCCUCCCAUACAGAAGUUAGACUUAAACUAUUGAUGGCUCACACAAGUGCAGAUAACAGCUUAUUCAGAACAGAAGCUCCUUGAAGGUAAACAUUCUUGUGGUUGUCAUUUUUGAAAUCCUGCCAUUUAUCACAUUGGCACUUGUGGGCACUUAAUAAUUGCUUGUUGAAUUAAAAACAUCUUUCUGCCUUUUCCUCCAAAUGGUAAUCAUUUACACAAUAAAAAAACCAAUUGCUUAAUUUGAAAGCUAUAA